RNAcentral lists this ribosomal RNA (468 nucleotides) under uncultured bacterium. RNAcentral describes it as "bacterial SSU rRNA". It matches the Rfam family "Bacterial small subunit ribosomal RNA", at positions 335 to 795 of the family's 1533-position model. The record is from RNAcentral.
ACUCCUACGGGAGGCAGCAGCUAAGAAUAUUCCGCAAUGGACGGAAGUCUGACGGAGCGACGCCGCGUGGAUGACGAAGGCCGAAAGGUUGUAAAGUUCUUUUGCUGGGGAAGAAUAACCGCAGGAGGGAAUGCCUGUGGGAUGACAAGAACCGGCGAAUAAGCCCCGGCCAACUACGUGCCAGCAGCCGCGGUAACACGUAGGGGGCGAGCGUUGUUCGGAAUUACUGGGCGUAAAGGGCAUGUAGGCGGCUUGGAAAGCCUGGCGUGAAAGUCUGCAGCUUAACUGCAGGGGUGCGCUGGGAACUGCUGAGCUUGAGUGACGGAGAGGGAGCUGGAAUUCCUGGUGUAGGGGUGAAAUCUGUAGAUAUCAGGAAGAACACCGAUGGCGAAGGCAAGCUCCUGGCCGAUGACUGACGCUGAGGUGCGAAAGUGUGGGGAUCAAACAGGAUUAGAUACCCUGGUAGUC